Molecule: ribosomal RNA, 474 nt
Filed under: uncultured bacterium
Lineage: Bacteria
Description: bacterial SSU rRNA
Rfam family: Bacterial small subunit ribosomal RNA
Source: RNAcentral
GAUGAACGCUGGCGGUAGGCCUUACACAUGCAAGUCGAGCGAUUCUUGCUUUUUAUGAUUUGACGAGCUUGCUCUGAAAUGACUAAGAAGCGCUGAAUAGCGGCAAACGGGUGCGUAACACGUAGGAAUGUCCCUUUAGUUGGGUAUAGCUAGCCGAAAGGUUAGGUAAUCCCCAAUGUGAACGAGAGUUUAAAGACGCAAGUCGCUAAAGGCACAGCCUGCGGCCCAUCAGCUAGUUGGUGAGGUAAUAGCUCACCAAGGCUAAGACGGGUAGCUGGUCUGAGAGGACGAUCAGCCACACUGGAACUGAGACACGGUCCAGACACCUACGGGUGGCAGCAGUGGGGAAUUUUCGGCAAUGGGCGCAAGCCUGACCGAGCCAUACCGCGUGCAGGAUGAAUGCCCUUUGGGUUGUAAACUGCUGUGGAGAGCUACUAUAAUGAAGAGCUCUCUAGAAAGAGGUUGCUAACUCUG